RNAcentral lists this antisense RNA (75 nucleotides) under Streptomyces albus subsp. albus DSM 41398. RNAcentral describes it as "ASpks TB sRNA". It matches the Rfam family "ASpks TB sRNA". The record is from Rfam by way of RNAcentral. Lineage: Bacteria; Bacillati; Actinomycetota; Actinomycetes; Kitasatosporales; Streptomycetaceae.
CUUCAACGCGCCGAGCCACAGCGGCCGUUCGCUCUCCCGGCCCUGCCCGUAGGUCGCCAGGAUCGCCUGGGCCUC